AUUGAACGCUGGCGGAAUGCUUUACACAUGCAAGUCGAACGGCAGCACGGACUUCGGUCUGGUGGCGAGUGGCGAACGGGUGAGUAAUACAUCGGAACGUGACCAGGCGUGGGGGAUGACGUAGCGAAAGCUAAGCUAAUACCGCAUACGAUCUAAGGAUGAACGCGGGGGAUAGCAAGACCUCGCGCGAGUGGAGGGGACGAUGGCAGAUUAGGUAGUUGGUGGGGUAAAGGCUCACCAAGCCGACGAUCUGUAGCUGGUCUGAGAGGACGACCAGCCACACUGGGACUGAGACACGGCCCAGACUCCUACGGGAGGCAGCAGUGGGGAAUUUUGGACAAUGGGCGCAAGCCUGAUCCAGCCAUUCCGCGUGCAGGAUGAAGGCCCUCGGGUUGUAAACUGCUUUUGUACGGAACGAAAAGGCUCUGGUUAAUACCUGGGGCUCAUGACGGUACCGUAAGAAUAAGCACCGGCUAACUACGUGCCAGCAGCCGCCGUAA
This 500-nucleotide ribosomal RNA is filed under the name uncultured bacterium. RNAcentral's name for it is "partial 16S ribosomal RNA". It matches the Rfam family "Bacterial small subunit ribosomal RNA", at positions 29 to 523 of the family's 1533-position model. The record is from RNAcentral.